CUACUGAUGAAGAGUCUCAAGCAGCUAGGACGAAACAGUUGUCCAGUAC
This 49-nucleotide non-coding RNA is filed under the name Trichobilharzia regenti. Lineage: Eukaryota; Metazoa; Platyhelminthes; Trematoda; Strigeidida; Schistosomatidae. The record is from RNAcentral.